This is a transfer RNA of 82 nucleotides. It matches the Rfam family "tRNA". From Rfam's summary of the family: Transfer RNA (tRNA) molecules are approximately 80 nucleotides in length. Their secondary structure includes four short double-helical elements and three loops (D, anti-codon, and T loops). The record is from Rfam.
GCCGGAGUGGCGGAAUGGCAGACGCACUUGACUCAAAAUCAAGCGAUGAAUAGUCGUGUGGGUUCAAGUCCCACCUCCGGCA